This is a long non-coding RNA of Scophthalmus maximus (turbot), 1667 nucleotides long. RefSeq lists it as uncharacterized. The transcript has 2 exons. NCBI's taxonomy places the organism in Eukaryota, Metazoa, Chordata, Actinopteri, Pleuronectiformes, Scophthalmidae. The record is from RefSeq and is a predicted model, not a curated record.
AAUAAAAAGUAAGUAACAAUGUUUGCCGAGCAACUCAGAGAGCAGCUGGAGACUGUUACAUGCUGAGUGCAAGCACAAGGUCCAUCAUCCAACAGUGCAUGUUUCACGAGAGACAAGGAGUAGAGAGCGAGCGGCCGAUUAAAUAAAGAAGGGAAAACGUGACGCAGGCCGAGCCUGCGCCCCGGAGACGUUUCUGAUUGAAGCCUUCCCCCCCGGGGACGCAGCGACGCUCGCUCUGCUUCCUGCGGCCCAAGGAAAAUAUAGAGACAGGAUAUGACAUCAUGGAAAAUAACCACCCCAACGGAAGUUACGUCACAGUGGAGGUCAGGGGUCACGAUGAGCCGAGGGAACUUGUCGAAGUGUGAACACGUGCUUCUGGCUUUCACAGUUGAAAGAGUCUAGCAAUGAGGAAUCAGGAUGUCCUCCCCACGACGGCACUUCUCUUUCCGCACAUCUCACAUAAGGCGUGCAUCCUCACUGCCGAAGAUCUCUGCGAGCCCCGAGGAAUUCCAAGUAUCCGAGAUUCAUCACCUCCUCUACUGCCACACAGUCAUUUGCAAACACUCCCCGUGGGAAAUCAUUCACAUGCUAUUUUGUCAGUAAUCCACUUUCUUCCAUAAUGGCUCAGGGACGAUAGGCUGUUUUAUUUUCUAUUGAUGCGCGACGCAGCAUUUUAUCCCGGACGUUCUUUGUCUAACUUGUGAUUUUCCUUCAAAACCUCAUCUGCAGUGUCACAACGCCAUCACGACGAGGGAGUGUGUGACCGGCGCCGCCUCAGUUCUGCUGCUCUGUGGCCACGGGUCAAGUUCUCGCUCCUCUCUGAGGAGUCAUUUGCAGCGAAAGCGAAACAAACUCAAAUAACUUGGGUAGAAAAGUUAUUUGAGUAGAAAUGUUCUCAGUGAAGCAGACGAGUCCUCGUUUGACUUUGUCCUCCAUAUAUAUAUAUAUAUAUAUAUAUAUCACAACCAACAAAUACGCAGUGGAAAGCCACCACCAACAGGAAGACAACUUUUUUCCCUUUCCUCUCAUGUCCAGCAUGACAUGACAGGGUGUGUGUGUGUGUGUGUGUGUGUGUGUGUGUGUGUGUGAAUUCCUCUCUGUGACCGAAAAUAGAACAUCUGUUUCCCAUAGUUCACUAAACCAACGCAUGUGCAGCCUAUAGGCCCGAGACUUCCCUCUGAAAAAGGAUCCGUGUCAGCUGAGUGUCUCACGUCCUGCAGCCCACUGAGAUCUGCAUUUCAAUGGAACGACCUGUGACCUCUUCAUAUAGAAAGACCCAUGAGAGAAUGACCAGAGAGCGCGGCCCCCGGCCAGCUGUCCCCUCGGCACGGGCACUGACGCGUCCGUCCGCCAGCAGCCGGUCGACUUGUAUGUUAUAAUACAGAGAUUGAAGCUUUCACACGGGAGAUGGAGAGUGAAGUCGGAGGCAAACUGUCCCUCCAAUCGACUGGGCCCAGCACCACCAGGGCUUUAAUCAACUUUCUUGACCACCAGCCAGCGUGGCUAGUAGAUUUUUUUUUAAAGUUACCAGCCAAUCAGAUUUCCACUAGCCAAAUUCCUUCCAGGGAAAAUAAACCAGAUUAUGAGACACAUUUAAGCAUCCAUGUCUCUUUAAAUUGCUUUUAUUAGCGUUGAUGGCAGAUAAACAUUAAAAUGGUAAAAAUAUA